GCCUGGCUGGCUUAGUCGGUAAGCAUGCAGCUCUUGACCUCAGAGUUGUGGGUUCGAACCCCACACCAGGUG
RNAcentral lists this transfer RNA (72 nucleotides) under Mustela putorius furo (domestic ferret). It matches the Rfam family "tRNA". Rfam says of the family: Transfer RNA (tRNA) molecules are approximately 80 nucleotides in length. Their secondary structure includes four short double-helical elements and three loops (D, anti-codon, and T loops). The record is from Rfam by way of RNAcentral. Lineage: Eukaryota; Metazoa; Chordata; Mammalia; Carnivora; Mustelidae.